This 443-nucleotide ribosomal RNA is filed under the name uncultured bacterium. Its description in RNAcentral is "partial 16S ribosomal RNA". It matches the Rfam family "Bacterial small subunit ribosomal RNA", at positions 338 to 795 of the family's 1533-position model. The record is from RNAcentral.
CCUACGGGAGUCAGCAGUGGGGAAUAUUGGGCAAUGGGCGCAAGCCUGACCCAGCAACGCCGCGUGAAGGAUGAAGGCUUUCGGGUUGUAAACUUCUUUUCUCAUGGACGAACAAAGUGACGGUACCUGAGGAAUAAGCCACUGCUAACUUCUUUCCAGCAGCCGCGGUAAUACGUAGGUGGCAAUCGUUAGCCGGAGUUACUCGGUGUAAAGGGCGUGUAGGCGUGUAAGCAAGGCAUAUGUGAAAACGACGGGCUCAAACUGUAGCCUGCAUUUGAAACUGUGUUUGGUGAGUACAGGAGAGGAGGACGGAAGUGCUAGUGUAGCGGUGAAAUGCGGAGAUAUUAGGAGGAACACCAGUGGCGAAGGCGGUCUGCUGGACAGCAACUGACGCUGAGGCGCGAAAGCGUGGGGAGCAAACAGGAUUAGAUACCCCAGUAGUC